UGGGCUGGUCGUAAGACCCGGGUCCACCAACUGGCGGGUAAGACACCC
This 48-nucleotide small RNA is filed under the name human gut metagenome. RNAcentral describes it as "DUF3800-XI RNA". It matches the Rfam family "DUF3800-XI RNA". From Rfam's summary of the family: Actinobacteria, Firmicutes, Proteobacteria, Spirochaetes (1 example). Nearby to DUF3800 The record is from RNAcentral.